ACACCCUCAAGCUCUGCUUGGUGUUGGAGCGUCUGUCCCGCCUUCGCGCUGUGGACUCGCCUUAAACGUAUUGGCAGCGGUCCUUGCCCCCUCUCGCGCAGCACAUUGCGCUUCUCGAGGGCGGCUCCGGGCCUGCGACCCAUGAAGAUGACCACCGU
This 158-nucleotide unclassified non-coding RNA is filed under the name uncultured Pseudorobillarda. RNAcentral describes it as "sequence contains ITS2". Lineage: Eukaryota; Fungi; Ascomycota; Dothideomycetes; Pleosporales. The record is from RNAcentral.